RNAcentral lists this ribosomal RNA (834 nucleotides) under Chryseobacterium aquaticum. RNAcentral describes it as "bacterial SSU rRNA". It matches the Rfam family "Bacterial small subunit ribosomal RNA", at positions 40 to 884 of the family's 1533-position model. Lineage: Bacteria; Pseudomonadati; Bacteroidota; Flavobacteriia; Flavobacteriales; Weeksellaceae. The record is from RNAcentral.
CCAGGCGGAGCUACAAUGCAGCCGAGCGGUAUUUGUUCUUCGGAACACACAGAGCGGCGCACGGGUGCGGAACACGUGAUGCAACCUGCCUUUAUCUGGGGGAUAGCCUUUCGAAAGGAAGAUUAAUACCCCAUAAUAUAUUGAGUGGCAUCAUGUUGAUAUGUGAAAACAUCCUGGUGGAUAGAGAUGGGCACGCGCAAGAUUAGAUAGUUGGUGAGGUAACGGCUCACCAAGUCAAUGAUCUUUAGGGGGCCUGAGAGGGUGAUCCCCCACACUGGUACUGAGACACGGACCAGACUCCUACAGGAGGCAGCAGUGAGGAAUAUUGGACAAUGGGUUAGCGCCUGAUCCAGCCAUCCCGCGUGAAGGACGACGGCCCUAUGGGUUGUAAACUUCUUUUGUAUAGGGAUAAACCUACUCUCGUGAGAGUAGCUGAAGGUACUAUACGAAUAAGCACCGGCUAACUCCGUGCCAGCAGCCGCGGUAAUACGGAGGGUGCAAGCGUUAUCCGGAUUUAUUGGGUUUAAAGGGUCCGUAUGCGGAUCUGUAAGUCAGUGGUGAAAUCUCACAGCUUAACUGUGAAACUGCCAUUGAUACUGCAGGUCUUGAGUAAAUUUGAAGUGGCUGGAAUAAGUAAUGUAGCGGUGAAAUGCAUAGAUAUUACUUAUAACACCCAUUGCGAAAGCACGUCACUAAGAUUUAUCUGACGCUCAUGGACGAAGCGUGGGGAGCGAACAGGAUUAAAAACCUGGUAGCCACCCCGUAAACAUGCUACUCAUUUUGGGGUUUCGGCUCGGAGACUAUGCGAAGUGAUAGUUACCCACUGGGAAUACG